AGCGAACGCUGGCGGCAGGCCUAAAACAUGCAAGUCGAACGGAUCCUUCGGGAUUAGUGGCGGACGGGUGAGUAACACGUGGGAACGUGCCUUUUGGUUCGGAACAACUCAGGGAAACUUGAGCUAAUACCGAAUGUGCCCUUCGGGGGAAAGAUUUAUCGCCAUUAGAGCGGCCCGCGUCUGAUUAGCUUGUUGGUGAGGUAAAGGCUCACCAAGGCGACGAUCAGUAGCUGGUCUGAGAGGAUGAUCAGCCACACUGGGACUGAGACACGGCCCAGACUCCUACGGGAGGCAGCAGUUAGGAAUCUUGCGCAAUGGGGGAAACCCUGACGCAGCCAUGCCGCGUGAAUGAUUAAGGUCUUAGGAUUGUAAAAUUCUUUCAGCGGGGACGAUAAUGACGGUACCCGCAGAAGAAGCCCCGGCUAACUUCGUGCCAGCAGCCGCGGUAAU
Molecule: ribosomal RNA, 450 nt
Filed under: uncultured bacterium
Lineage: Bacteria
Description: bacterial SSU rRNA
Rfam family: Bacterial small subunit ribosomal RNA
Source: RNAcentral